UACGAAGGGGGCUAGCGUUGCUCGGAAUCACUGGGCGUAAAGCGCACGUAGGCGGAUCUUUAAGUCAGGGGUGAAAUCCCAAGGCUCAACCUUGGAACUGCCUUUGAUACUGGGGAUCUCGAGUCCGGAAGAGGUUGGUGGAACUGCGAGUGUAGAGGUGAAAUUCGUAGAUAUUCGCAAGAACACCAGUGGCGAAGGCGCCAACUGGUCCGGUACUGACGCUAGGUGCG
This 230-nucleotide ribosomal RNA is filed under the name uncultured bacterium. RNAcentral describes it as "partial 16S ribosomal RNA". It matches the Rfam family "Bacterial small subunit ribosomal RNA", at positions 524 to 755 of the family's 1533-position model. The record is from RNAcentral.